This 76-nucleotide transfer RNA is filed under the name Bacteriophage sp. Its description in RNAcentral is "tRNA-Glu". It matches the Rfam family "tRNA". Rfam says of the family: Transfer RNA (tRNA) molecules are approximately 80 nucleotides in length. Their secondary structure includes four short double-helical elements and three loops (D, anti-codon, and T loops). The record is from RNAcentral.
GGCACUAUCAUCUAGUGGUCUAGGAUGCUACUCUCUCAAGGUAGUCACGACGAGUUCGAAUCUCGCUAGUGCUUCA